Molecule: ribosomal RNA, 482 nt
Filed under: uncultured bacterium
Lineage: Bacteria
Description: bacterial SSU rRNA
Rfam family: Bacterial small subunit ribosomal RNA
Source: RNAcentral
UUGAACGCUGGCGGUAUGCUUAACACAUGCAAGUCGAACGGUAACAGGUCUAGCUUGCUAGAUGCUGACGAGUGGCGGACGGGUGAGUAACGCGUAGGAACCUGUCUAUCAGAGUGGGACAACACGGGGAAACUCGUGCUAAUACCACAUACGUUCUAAGGAAGAAAGGCUGGAGCAAUCCAGUUGCUGAUAGGGGGGCCUGCGUUGGAUUAGCUAGUUGGUGGGGUAAUGGCCUACCAAGGCGACGAUCCAUAGCUGUUCUGAGAGGAAGAUCAGCCACACUGGGACUGAGACACGGCCCAGACUCCUACGGGAGGCAGCAGUGGGGAAUAUUGGACAAUGGGCGCAAGCCUGAUCCAGCAAUACCGCGUGUGUGAAGAAGGCCUGAGGGUUGUAAAGCACUUUCAGCGAGGAGGAAGGUAUUAAUGUUAAUAGUAUUAAUAUUUGACGUUACUCGCAGAAGAAGCACCGGCUAACUCUGU